Balaenoptera acutorostrata (minke whale) is the source of this 1741-nucleotide long non-coding RNA. RefSeq lists it as uncharacterized. The record is from RefSeq and is a predicted model, not a curated record. The transcript is spliced from 3 exons. NCBI's taxonomy places the organism in Eukaryota, Metazoa, Chordata, Mammalia, Artiodactyla, Balaenopteridae.
AGUCUUUAUUGAAUUUGUUACAAUAUUGCUUCUGUUUUAUGUUUUGGUUUUUUGGCCGCGAGGCAUGUGGGAUCUUAGCUCCCGGACCAGGGAUCAAACCCGUACCCGCUGCAUUGGAAGGCGAAGUCUUAACCACUGGACCGCCAGAAACUGCUCAGUCUCCCGCCUCUGUGAAGUUUGCCCAUCUGUCUGGAAAAAGGCAGUUCAGGCCAUGUUUUUCCCAAGCAAUAGAAAAAACCAGUCUCAACAAAGCGAGAAGUUUGUCCUAAGAAGCUGGAAGUUUACUUAAGAGAUAUUUCAAGAACCUAUGUCUUCGAAAGUGGGGGAAUUUUUCUUGGAGUAUACCUGCACCAGUAUGCCCACCUUGAUUUAAUCGUAUGGGGGUAUACAAGUCUUGUUCAUAAAGUGUGUCAAGCUCGAGGAAGAAAAGGUAAGAAGAUGAGUUUAUUAGACCUUGGAAAACAAAACAAACAAAACACCACAACUGAGCAAGCAACCUCAUCUACCUGUGGUUCCCUCCGUGGCUGACACUUUACAUUCCCAUAGCAUUUUCCUUGUAUAUCUCACUUAGCAUCUAUCUUUUGUUCAAGGGCUUCUUGCUUUUGUUUGUUUUUAAAGCUGCUGUUCUAUCAGGUUGUAAACGCCUGGAGAGGAGGAUCUCCAGACAUCCUGCCUUGUUUUCUUCACAGUCAGGGAUGAUAUUCAAGAUAGUUAACACCCAGUACAGAACAGGAACCAACCAAAUCAAAUGGACACUGGUCUUGGCAAUUUGUACAGCCACACUGGUGUAUCCAGCUGAGUAUGUUUUCUGCACAUAGAAGGCUUCCAAUAAACGACUGUUGGAUUGAAUUUCAUUGGUUUGGUGUCCUGGCCCUGGCAUCUAAUGGCUUUCUUUCAGAAUUCAGGCUACUUUUUCUUGCCAAGAUAUGACCAUAACCAUUUUUCCUCCUUGAUUUAAUCCUGCAAGAGUCUUUGAGUAAUUGUGAAGAACUUUGUGAGUUCUUCAAACCUGCAUUGUCCAAUAUGGUAGACACUAGCCACAUAUAUAAGGUUGCUAGAUAAAAUAUAGGACACCCAGUUAAAUUUGAAUUUCAGAUAAAUAAAGAAUAAAUUUGUAGUGUAAAUGUGUCCCAUGCAAUAUUUGGGAUAUACUUAAACUACAAAAUGAUCUGUUGCUUAUCUGAAAUUAAUAAUUAACUGAGCAUCCUAUAUUUUCAUUUGCUAAAUCUGGUAACCCUACACACGUGGCUAUCUAAACUUAAAUUAAUUGAAAUGUAAUAAAAAAUUUAAAAUUUAUUUUCUCAGCCUCACUGGCCACAUUUCAAGAGCUCUGUAGCCACAUAUGUGGCUAAUGGUUCCCAUCUUGAACAGCACAGAUAUAGAACAUUUCUAUCAUUGCAUAAAGUUUUAUUGGACACUAACUUUGCCAAGCAAACGAUAGCAGGAAAGUUUUGUGUAUUUUACACAUUAAAAAAAUAUGUAUUUGGAGCCUAGAAGACCCCUUCUAACAUAGCCAAGAAGCCACAUUCUUCAUGUUUCGGUCUGUUACUUUUACUGAAUAUGCAGGAUAUUUGUUCCAGAUAAAUGAGCCUGUAUGAGAGAAGCAGCUCCUGCAAACCUACGUUUGUGGACGCUGUUGUCCUGCUUUUCUCCUGGGACUACCAGGAAAUGUCAGCUGUCAGAUCAGAGCAAGUCAAAAUUUAAAGAGUUCUAAAUGAAAAAUAAAUGUGUUGUUAUUUGA